CAGGGAACUACUGUAGAUGGCUGUCAAUUUCUCCAUAAUGUUUUAUGUACAUUUUGUGGCCUCUUCUCCAUGCCAUGUACAACGCAUAUGUGAACACUGCAGUAGCAAACAGCUUAUAAGAUUAAUUCAUCUGGAGGAAGUUCUACAAAAGAUGACCAGUCAGUGUGACUACUAGAGGAGGACAAUCCUUUCAGGAUUCAUCUUCUGUGUCCAAUUUAAAGAGGGUUUCUCAGUCUGAGUCUGUAAGUGGAAGACAGGAUAUCAUUCACAUAAACCUUUAAAAAAACUUUCUAAGCCUUAAAUCAAAAGAAGAAUUUUAAAUUUUUAUAUUUUUCAGAGAAGUAACUAAAACCUCUCCAGGCAUAAUUUAUGCUGUUGACA
RNAcentral lists this long non-coding RNA (381 nucleotides) under Coturnix japonica (Japanese quail). Its description in RNAcentral is "lncRNA (ENSCJPG00005003717.1)". The record is from RNAcentral. Lineage: Eukaryota; Metazoa; Chordata; Aves; Galliformes; Phasianidae.